Molecule: long non-coding RNA, 614 nt
Organism: Brachypodium distachyon (stiff brome)
Lineage: Eukaryota; Viridiplantae; Streptophyta; Magnoliopsida; Poales; Poaceae
Exons: 2
Source: RefSeq, a predicted model, not a curated record
GGGCCGGCGAGAAGCAGGCAGAGGCAGGGCUGCCCUAGCUCGCGCACUGCCGAGCAGCAGUCCUCGCUGGGCGGCGACGGGCUGAAGGGCGCCACCGCCGCCUUGCACGGGAUCAUGAGCUGCAGCAGCGCGCCCAGGUGGAUACGGCGGCGGGAAAACUCCAUCCGGCCGCGCCAAUUUGCCCAUCAACCAGCGUCGAGGUCAGGUGGAUACGGCGGCGAGCCGUGAUUUGCUUGAGGCGGAGGCGGCGUCCUCGAAGCUGCGGAAGGAGGCGGUGGCAGUCCGUGCAGGACCAAGUCAGCCACGGGCCAUGGCUGAGCUAGGAGCUCGGCACUGCCGCUGCCCCGUCCAGCUAUCGCCACCGAUGAGCCCUCAAAUGGAACCGCGAUGAUCUCCUCUAUCGAUGCACCACAUGCCCAUGGACCUCACCGCUCGGAGCGCCGGCGAGACCAGCCAUCAGUUUUUAGUUCCGCCGGCCAUGGAGACCCGCGUGAACCUGAUCUAUUUCUGUCUCUUUGCAAUUUGAUGGCGAUGGAAUAACAAAAUCCAUAUCUAAACUCUUAUGUCUUGGUAAACUUACAGAAAACCCCCUAGUAAAAGCCCACUUCUUGCAA